UUCAAGAAUCCUCUGCAACACCUUUCCAAAGAUGUUGAAGGAGUCUCUUAAAGUCCUCUUAUUCUUUUCUGCCCUGAAGGCAUCACCAACAGCUGGAGCAGAGGAAAGCAUGUCAGCUGUGUCCACAGGGCAUGGUAUUCAUCUUCUUGCUGUGAGAUGAGAGACUUGUCUGGGAAGCAGACUCCACAUGAAAGGUCAGUCUCCUCCAUUUCACACAGUUUGGUCAGAUCAAGAAGAAAUCCAAACAUGUUGCCAAACUCCUGCAUUUGUUUAAAACAGGUAUGGAGAGAAGUGAGGGCCUGGUCCACUAUCACAAUAAAGUAGUCCGUUAUAUACG
Long non-coding RNA from Notolabrus celidotus (New Zealand spotty), 337 nucleotides. RefSeq lists it as uncharacterized. Lineage: Eukaryota; Metazoa; Chordata; Actinopteri; Labriformes; Labridae. The transcript is spliced from 2 exons. The record is from RefSeq and is a predicted model, not a curated record.